Molecule: long non-coding RNA, 2894 nt
Filed under: Mytilus galloprovincialis (Mediterranean mussel)
Lineage: Eukaryota; Metazoa; Mollusca; Bivalvia; Mytilida; Mytilidae
Source: RNAcentral
AUGUCUAAGGUUGUCCCUUUUCUUUUUUUCUAGCAGGGCGCGACGCAGAUUGAGGAUUCCCAGGUAUGUUUUCUGUUAAGACCUUUGUGUAUGUCUAAUUGCGCCUUUUCUUUUUUUCUAGCAGGGCGCGACGCAGAUUGAGGAUUCCCAGGUAUGUUUUCUGUUAAGACCUUUGUGUAUGUCUAAUGUUUUUUUUUUUUCCUUUAGGUCGUGUGGCCUUUUUUUUUUUGCAGGGCGCGACGCAGAUUGAGGAUUCCCAGGUAUGUUUUCUGUUAAGACCUUUGUGUAUGUCCAAUUGCGCCUUUUCUUUUUUUCUAGCAGGGCGCGACGCAGAUUGAGGAUUCCAAGGUAUGUUUUCUGUUAAGACCUUUGUGUAUGUCUAAUGGUUUCUUUUUUUUUUCCUUUAGGUCGUGUGGCCUUUUUUUUUUUUUGCAGGGCGCGACGCAGAUUGAGGAUUCCCAGGUAUGUUUUCUGUUAAGACCUUUGUGUAUGUCUAAUUGCGCCUUUUCUUUUUUUCUAGCAGGGCGCGACGCAGAUUGAGGAUUCCCAGGUAUGUUUUCUGUUAAGACCUUUGUGUAUGUCUAAUUGCGCCUUUUCUUUUUUUCUAGCAGGGCGCGACGCAGAUUGAGGAUUCCCAGGUAUGUUUUCUGUUAAGACCUUUGUGUAUGUCUAAUGUUGUCUUUUCUUUUUUUCUGGCAGGGCGCGACGCAGAUUGGAGAUUCGCAGGUAUGUUUUCUGUUAAGGCCUUUGUGUAUGUCAAAUGGUUCCUUUUUUUUCCUUUAGGUCGUGUGGCCUAUGGGACAUUUGCAGGUAUGUUUUCUGUUAAGGCCUUUGUGUAUGUUUAAUGUCGUUUUUUUUUUCUGGCAGGGCGUGUCGCAGAUUAAAGAUAUUUAAUUUUUUCAUUUUCUUGCCAAGACAUAAAAUCUGGCAUAUGUUUAAUUACAUUUCCUAUAAAGUUAUCUCUUAGCUUAGCAUUUUUUUUACAGUAUAAAAUAAAAUGGGCUUUAUCCUCCAUUGUAUUACAGGAUGUGCAUAGUCUUUUUUCUCUAGAUAGGUAUUUUUAAAUGUCUUCCUUUUUCUAUCACUAAAUUAUGAUAGCUAAUUCUCAUUUUUGUUAUGUUACUUCUCUUUUCAAAAGAUUUACAGUUUAAGUAGUUUUCCAUUUUAAAAUUUUGCUUUAAACUUUUAUAUAAAUACAAUUUACUUUUUUUAUCUAUUUUUUCAAAUUUUUGUUAAAAUAUAUUUGUGUAGAAAUUUAAUAAUUGAUGUUUUAAGGUUGUUUUUUUUUUUAAAUUUCAGUAUUUUUUUCUUUUGUUUCCCUCAAGAAUGGAUAUGUCCAUGUUUACCUCUUUCAAAAUAUUUUUAACAUAUGUAAACCAGGUAUAGCAACCUGAAUUAUCUAAACUUAUAGAAAGUAAAAAGGAUUCAUAUAAUAAUGGAUUAAUUUCAGAAUUUGGUAAUCUUGAUAUAAAGUAAAGUAUACUUUGAGUUUUUAUAUGCAUCUCUAGUGGGUAUCUCCCUAGCUCUGUUCUCACAGCUAUGUUUGAUGAAGAUUUUCUUGUUCUGAGGAUAUACUUACAGACAGACAAAUGUAUUUUCUACACUUGAUUUUUCAGUAAAAAUAAGGGGGGUCUAUAUUUGUUACAUUUGGACUAUCCUGGAAUGUUUUCUUUCUUAAUUUUUUUACUAUUUGUUUGUAUUUAGGCAACAACCAUUUUAUUAUCUGGGGGGCCUGGGAUUUUUUUGAAAAAAAAUAUUUUAAUGGCCUAGAUGAACGAAAAAAAAAUUAUGUUUUAAACUGUAGCUGAAAAAAAAAUUUAUGUUUUGCAAUGUAGCUGAAAAAAAAAUUAUGCUGUCACCUGCUUGAAAAAAAAUUUUGCACUGCUGAAUUUGAGAAUAGUGAAAAUAACAACAGUUGAGACAGUGAAACAGCAGAUUAUAAACAUCUGUCCAGUCUACAGAUUAAGCUAAGAUUUAUAUUUAUACCUUAUUACUUUUUGUAUUUUCCUGUAAGUGUUUGAUCCAGAAAUAUUUAAAAGCAUUCCAAAUCUCCCGCAUGUACAUGUAUGCUACUAGAUUAAGACAUACUUAAAACUGCAACUAUUAUAAACAUGAUAUGCAGGCGCGGAUCCAGAGGGGGGGUUCCAGGGUUGGAACCCCCCCUUUUUUUUGGCCGAUCAAUGCAUUUGAAUGGGAGCAUAUAGCUGGAACCCCCCCCCCCAUUACUCUGGGUUGGGAACCCCCCUUUUUAAAAUGGCUGGAUCCGCCCCUGAUAUGGUCAUUUUAUAACAGGGAUAGAUAUGGUAUCAUAUUAAAGCAGUCUUUUAAAGUAGCCCUGAUUGUGUAUUUUCCUUUGUAUCAUUCUGUAUCAUUUUUUAUACCUCUUUUUUCAAUGGAAUAUCAAUUAUCAUAGUUGGAAACAGUGGAUGUUUAUAAUUUGGAGCUACUCACUCUUACAUAUGGCAAUGGUGGCCACUUCAAUUGCAGUAUUAAAAUUCAAGGACUGUGGUACCUGUAUGACGGACUCAGAGAAUAUCAUAAUGUAGAAAGUGGGCUAAAAAAAACAACAGAGACAACAGCCAAUGCCAGGAUAUAGACAGAGCCAUGCAGUUUACAUUUUACAUCAAUUAAAAAAUUAAAAUGAAUUAAUAUGUAAAUUUUAUGGUUUUGAGAAAAAUAGAAUGUAUUUCUGUUCCACAUUAUAGGAAAAAAAAUUAUCGGAGGAAGCUUAGGUUCCGAAAAAAAUAUUUAUGAACAUAAUAAAAAUCCCAGCCCCCCCCCCCCCCCGAUAAGAAAAUGGUUGUUGCCUUAGGUGAAAGAUAAGACUUCAAUAUUUGUAAUUCGUUGUGUCCAUGUGUCCAGACACAUGCAUGUCAACUUUUUGCACCGGAACC